Molecule: ribosomal RNA, 440 nt
Filed under: uncultured bacterium
Lineage: Bacteria
Description: bacterial SSU rRNA
Rfam family: Bacterial small subunit ribosomal RNA
Source: RNAcentral
CCUACGGGAGGCAGCAGUGGGGAAUCUUGCGCAAUGGGCGAAAGCCUGACGCAGCAACGCCGCGUGCGGGAUGAAGGCCCUCGGGUUGUAAACCGCUUUCAGCAGGGACGAAACCGACGGUACCUGCAGAAGAAGCCCCGGCCAACUACGUGCCAGCAGCCGCGGUAACACGUAGGGGGCAAGCGUUGUCCGGAUUUAUUGGGCGUAAAGAGCUCGUAGGCGGCUCGGUAAGUCAGGUGUGAAACCUCUGGGCUCAACCCAGAGAGGCCACCUGAUACUGCUGUGGCUAGAGUCCGGUAGGGGAGCGUGGAAUUCCUGGUGUAGCGGUGAAAUGCGCAGAUAUCAGGAGGAACACCAGCGGCGAAGGCGGCGCUCUGGGCCGGAACUGACGCUGAGGAGCGAAAGCGUGGGGAGCGAACAGGAUUAGAUACCCUAGUAGU